AGAUUAAGCCAUGCAUGUGUAAGUGCAUACCAGAUAUGGUGAAAACCGCGAAUGGCUCAUUACAUCAGUCGUAGUUUAUGGGACAAUAUGACAGGUGGACAACUGUGGAAAAUCUAGAGCUAAUACAUGCACACAAGUCCUGACGCAAGAAAGGACGCAUUUAUCAGAUCAAAGCCAACGUUCUCGCAAGGGAGCAAAAUUAUGAUGACUCUGGGUAAAUUUUCGGAUUGCACUGCCUUCGAGCAGGCGACGUUGAUUGCAAGUGUCUGACCUAUCAACUUUUGAUGGCAGUCGACAUUACUGCCAUGGUUGUAACGGGUAACGGGGAAUCAGGGUUCGAUUCCGGAGAGAGAGCAUGAGAAAUGGCUGUCACAUCCAAGGAAGGCAGCAGGCGCGCAAAUUACCCAAUCCCCGAUCGGGGAGGUAGUGACGAGAAAUAGCGAUGCCGCGAUCAUUUGAUUCGGCAGUUGAAAUGAGAACAAUGAAAGAAUUUUAUCGAGAAUCUAUUGGAGGGCAAGUUCUGGUGCCAGCAGCCGCGGUAAUUCCAGCUCGAAAAGCGUAUGUUAAAGUUGCUGCGGUUAAAACGCUCGUCGUUGGACAUCAGGAGAUGGAUCGUGGACAACCUAGAGUUGCUACUACGGUUUCACUCCUUUUUUAUGCCAGUUCAUCGAUGAUGUACUUGAAUGUGUGUCACGGUAGAAGGUCAAUGUCACUUUGAGAAAAUUAGUGUGCUCAACGCAGGCUUUACGCUUGUAUAAUGCUGCAUGGGAUGACGGAAUAGGGCCUCGGUUCCGUUUCGUUGGUUUACGAAAGCAGAGGUCAUGAUUAAUCGGGACAGACGGGGGCAUUCGUAUUGCGAUGCUAGAAGUGAAAUUCUGUGACCAUCGCAAGACGGACAACUGCGAAAGCAUUUGCCAAGAAUGUUUUCAUUAAUCAAGAACGAAAGUUAGAGGAUCGAAGACGAUUAGAUACCGUCCUAGUUCUAACUGUAAACUAUGCCGACCGGGGAUUCGCCAAUGCAAUAUUGCUUGGCGAGCACCCUCCGGGAAACCAAAGUGAUUGGGUUCCGGGGGGAGUAUGGUUGCAAAAUCGAAACUUAAAGGAAUUGACGGAGGGGCACACCAGAAGUGGAGCCUGCGGCUCAAUUUGACUCAACGCACGAAAGCUUACUCGGUCCGAACACCGUGAGGAUUGACAGGUUGAAAGCUCUUUCUUGAUCCGGUGGGUAGCGGUGCAUGGCCGUUCGUAGUUGGUGAAGUGAUUUGUCUGGUUUAUUCCGAUAACGAACGAGACUCUAGCCUACUAAUUAGCGUGAUGAUUGAUCGUCAUUACAAAUGCUUCUUAGAGGGACAGGUGUUGCUUAAACACACGAAGUAGAGCAAUAACAGGUCUGUGAUGCCCUUCGAUGUUCGAGGCUGCACGCGCGCUACAAUGGAGGGCGCAAAGCGCACUACACAUUUUGAAAAGGAUGCGGAAUCGUAAAUAGCCUUCAUGACUGGGAUCGGAGAUUGAAAUUAUUCUUCGUGAACGAGGAAUUCCUAGUAAGCGCGAAUCAUUACCUCGCGUUGAUUAAGUCCCUGCCCUUUGUACACACCGCCCGUCGCUACUACCGAUUGAAUGAUUUGGUGAGGUCUGUGGAUAGGUGUCACUGGGUUAACCCCCUGUUGUACUUACCUAGAAGCUGACCAAGCUUAAGCGUUUAGAGGAAGUAAAAGUCGUAACAAGGUUU
This 1729-nucleotide ribosomal RNA is filed under the name Echinorhynchus cotti. RNAcentral describes it as "SSU rRNA". It matches the Rfam family "Eukaryotic small subunit ribosomal RNA". The record is from RNAcentral. Lineage: Eukaryota; Metazoa; Acanthocephala; Palaeacanthocephala; Echinorhynchida; Echinorhynchidae.